This 160-nucleotide non-coding RNA is filed under the name Nitratidesulfovibrio vulgaris. RNAcentral's name for it is "Desulfovibrio vulgaris FMN sequence". It matches the Rfam family "FMN riboswitch aptamer (RFN element)". From Rfam's summary of the family: The RFN element is a highly conserved domain that is found frequently in the 5'-untranslated regions of prokaryotic mRNAs that encode for flavin mononucleotide (FMN) biosynthesis and transport proteins. This element is a metabolite-dependent riboswitch that directly binds FMN in the absence of proteins. Lineage: Bacteria; Pseudomonadati; Thermodesulfobacteriota; Desulfovibrionia; Desulfovibrionales; Desulfovibrionaceae. The record is from RNAcentral.
CCGAAUCCUCAGGGCGGGGUGAAAGUCCCCACCGGCGGUAUUCCCGCGCGGCUUGCCGCGCCGGAGAGCCCGCGAGCGCCCGUUCCGUCGUGGAACGGGGUCAGCAGACCCGGUGAGAUGCCGGGGCCGACGGUAACAGUCCGGAUGAAAGAGGACGCGG